GUAGGGAAAGGCAAUAUCAGAGAGUGGUUCACAUUAUGCUGAAUUUUAUAGUACCUUGACAUUGUGAAUGAACCUUUGGAAUCUUUGAAAAGAACAUCAAGGAAAAGUCAGUUUCUAAUGUGCUGAGGAAAAUAUUCUGACAUGGUGAUAAGUGAGGUAAAAUUUUGAGGAAGAGGAGAUUUUACCUGAAUAAAUCUACGACUGGGGUGCUAAUGGUGCACCGCAACAUGAUUUCCUCUGGUGUGGGACUCACAGGAGUCUGGAACAGGCAGGAAGGGAAGAUUCUAACCACUGCCCAGGCCAGAUAUCCCUGGGGAUAGAUACCUCAUAUCUGUCAGAUAUCUGUCCAAUUGCAUGGAGUUUACCUUUCAUGAAAGCACAGGGACGAGGAGGAAAGAAAUGACAGUAAGACUGAAUUAUGAACUUUAAGAAGUUGAGAACAAGUAA
Malaclemys terrapin pileata is the source of this 447-nucleotide long non-coding RNA. RefSeq lists it as uncharacterized. The record is from RefSeq and is a predicted model, not a curated record. NCBI's taxonomy places the organism in Eukaryota, Metazoa, Chordata, Testudines, Emydidae. The transcript is spliced from 3 exons.